Long non-coding RNA from Brassica napus (rape), 363 nucleotides. RefSeq lists it as uncharacterized. The record is from RefSeq and is a predicted model, not a curated record. The transcript has 2 exons. Lineage: Eukaryota; Viridiplantae; Streptophyta; Magnoliopsida; Brassicales; Brassicaceae.
GAUUUUUCUUGCUGGUGGUUUGUGAGGCUGGAAGCAGUUGAAGGAUGGAGCUGGUGAAUUGAUGUGGAGCCUCCUGAUUGGUACUCAUCCUUCUCGUUGACGUCAUUUGAGCCAAUGCGAACUGUCCGAUCCAAGAAUCAGAGGUGAGAGAGCCAAAAGAGAGAUGGUUGGCAAAAGAAGAUUAAUGGCAGGAGAUGAGUUUCUUUUUGACAACAUCAUUUAAAUUGUCGAUGAGAAAAGCGAGCCACAUUUUAUUUCGAAAACAUAUGCAAGUAGUCCAAAUGGUUAUGGUGAAUAGCAACACAUUAAGAAGUAGUCGGAUCCGUUGCAAUAAACACAAUCUCAACUGAAUCAUUUUACAAA